AACGAACGCUGGCGGCAGGCUUAACACAUGCAAGUCGAACGCAUCCUUCGGGGUGAGUGGCAGACGGGUGAGUAACGCGUGGGAACGUGCCCUUCAGUUCGGAAUAACCCAGGGAAACUUGGGCUAAUACCGGAUACGUGCGAGAGCAGAAAGAUUUAUCGCUGAAGGAUCGGCCCGCGUCUGAUUAGCUAGUUGGUGAGGUAAUGGCUCACCAAGGCGACGAUCAGUAGCUGGUCUGAGAGGAUGAUCAGCCACAUUGGGACUGAGACACGGCCCAAACUCCUACGGGAGGCAGCAGUGGGGAAUAUUGGACAAUGGGCGCAAGCCUGAUCCAGCCAUGCCGCGUGAGUGAUGAAGGCCUUAGGGUUGUAAAGCUCUUUCGUCCGGGACGAUAAUGACGGUACCGGAAGAAGAAGCCCCGGCUAACUUCGUGCCAGCCGCCGCUGUAA
RNAcentral lists this ribosomal RNA (449 nucleotides) under uncultured bacterium. RNAcentral's name for it is "partial 16S ribosomal RNA". It matches the Rfam family "Bacterial small subunit ribosomal RNA", at positions 29 to 523 of the family's 1533-position model. The record is from RNAcentral.